GAGUUUGAUCCUGGCUCAGAUUGAACGCUGGCGGCAGGCCUAACACAUGCAAGUCGAGCGGUAGAGAGAAGCUUGCUUCUCUUGAGAGCGGCGGACGGGUGAGUAAUGCCUAGGAAUCUGCCUGGUAGUGGGGGAUAACGCUCGGAAACGGACGCUAAUACCGCAUACGUCCUACGGGAGAAAGCAGGGGACCUUCGGGCCUUGCGCUAUCAGAUGAGCCUAGGUCGGAUUAGCUAGUUGGUGAGGUAAUGGCUCACCAAGGCGACGAUCCGUAACUGGUCUGAGAGGAUGAUCAGUCACACUGGAACUGAGACACGGUCCAGACUCCUACGGGAGGCAGCAGUGGGGAAUAUUGGACAAUGGCGAAAGCCUGAUCCAGCCAUGCCGCGUGUGUGAAGAAGGUCUUCGGAUUGUAAAGCACUUUAAGUUGGGAGGAAGGGCAGUAAAUUAAUACUUUGCUGUUUUGACGUUAACCGACAGAAUAAGACACCGGCUAACUCUGUGCCAGCACG
This 512-nucleotide ribosomal RNA is filed under the name uncultured bacterium. RNAcentral's name for it is "bacterial SSU rRNA". It matches the Rfam family "Bacterial small subunit ribosomal RNA", at positions 9 to 515 of the family's 1533-position model. The record is from RNAcentral.